GUGAGAGUGACCGUACAAGUCGUAUGGAGCCCAGAGGGAAUCCAGAGGGCAGGGUUCCUUCGAGUCCAGCCUCGUCCAUGGCUUUCCACUUCCUGACCAGUGAAGAAGGCUCACCGGACCGGCAUGGAGGUUUCGGCAGCUGCCUUUCACAUUGUCGCCGCCGAGGCCGUGCUGGUUCCACCGGUGUUCAAUGGGCGAAACAUCACCAGCGAACACAAGAAGAAACGGCGGAAGCGAACCGAGCUCGUAGAUCCGAUCGUUUUUCUGAAUCUCCAUCCACCGUUCGAUCCGCUUCGUGUAGCCGGCCCGUCGCCACUUAACGAGAUCUAUAACCAUCACACCGGUGUUAAAGUAACAAGGCUUCCG
RNAcentral lists this unclassified non-coding RNA (366 nucleotides) under Hevea brasiliensis (rubber tree). Lineage: Eukaryota; Viridiplantae; Streptophyta; Magnoliopsida; Malpighiales; Euphorbiaceae. The record is from RNAcentral.